GUGGAGGUGGAUUCAGGGGUGGAGUCUGUCCAGCUGAUCUGCAAAAUCAGAGUUCGUCUGAUAAAAAAAGACCCUAAAGUGGAGUGGACGGAGAACAACAAGAAGGUCCAUGUGUAUCAGAACGGCUCUGAACAGCCUGAAGAACAGCACCAGGAUUACAGAGACCGGACAGAGAUGAAUAAAGACCUGCUGAAAACUGGAGACCUCAGUCUGACCCUGAAAUACCCCACAGAGUGGGACACAAACACCUACACCUGCACCGUCUACAGCUGGGGGGAAAACAUCUUAAUGAAGAAACAAGUGGAGCUUAAAGUCAGAGAUCACUGCUGGUUUCUUGUUGGUGUUGGUGAAACAAUGACAUUGUUUGUCCUGGUGCAUUGUUCCAAGUCUGCAAUCCUGCUCUCCAGGUACGCUAUCUGCUUCUUCUUCCUCACAUUUUUAAUACAGAGCAACUUUAACUUAACAACGUCCAAUAUACUUUUCUAUUACAUCCCAACAGCAGAUAUUUCUGCUGUUGGGAUGUAAAAAGA
Long non-coding RNA from Astatotilapia calliptera (eastern happy), 530 nucleotides. The record is from Ensembl. NCBI's taxonomy places the organism in Eukaryota, Metazoa, Chordata, Actinopteri, Cichliformes, Cichlidae.